AGUAUUUUGGAGGUAGGAAGAUAUGAACCGUUCUGCAUUGCAGUUGGAACACAUUUAUCAGAAGUAUUGAAGCAAAACGGUCCCGUUCGUGAAAAUCAUUAGCAAAAUGAAUAAUUUUGGCUUGAAAUCAUUAUUUUCCUUGUCUACUAGCAAGAUCUUUACCAGAUCUAUCUCAAUAAAUGCGGCGGGUGUCACUAAUACAAAAAGUCUCAA
Molecule: long non-coding RNA, 213 nt
Organism: Ostrinia furnacalis (Asian corn borer)
Lineage: Eukaryota; Metazoa; Arthropoda; Insecta; Lepidoptera; Crambidae
Exons: 2
Source: RefSeq, a predicted model, not a curated record